AUAGUUCCUGUGUUUCUAAUCACAUGGCAGCUGUUUGCGUGGUAAUAGUCUGCUCCGAGUUUUAUAGAAGCUGCGUUUCUUAAUUGAGUGCUUUGAAGAGUCUUAAGACCAUGCAGAAAGCAGAGUAGGGGCCCCCUCUCUGGCAGGGUUAGCUUGUAACACAGUUUGAAAUAUUUUUCAGGGAUGGUCACAGCCUUCCCUGUUAGUGUCCACAUUUCUUGGGAAGCAGUGGCCCAGACACAGGGCUCCUGCAAGCCUGGGCAUAAAACCUCACUUACGGAGGAAGCCUCGUUGGACCAGUGUGGGCCUGAGCUCUUCAUCACAGCUAGGGUCCUUCUCUAGCUUGUAGCAACAGAAACUGGCCCAGGGCUUUGCUUUUCUUCUGACCAGGUGGAACCUGAAUACGACACCCAUUUUUGAUUUUGCAAAAGGCAAGUCUUCCAGCUUCUGGGACAGACGCGUCUGACACCAGGGGAAAACUACAGUUGCGUGGUCCCUUACUCCAUCUGCCGGCUCUGCAUCCUUACCCUGUGCCCACCUCCUGGCUCUGGCUGGCUGUUGGCACCCCGCACCCGCGGGUUCCCUAUUGCAGCACCGGGAAGGCCUUUCGGGGUCUUUAAGAAUUUCUGAUCAAAAACUCUGUUAGUUGUUGUUAAGGAGAAGUACAAAGCUGAAUGGCACGACUAGACAUUGGUGGCGCUUCUAAUGAGCAGAGAAGACCAGAGCUGACUUCUUCCUGGAAAACUGAGGGCCGGUCAUCUUGUUUGUGCCCAUAUUUGGCCUGACUCAGGGUUCUUCCUGGUGGAUGUGCACACAUGUCUCAGCCAAGACACAUUCUAGUGUGGAGGUGUCUAGGGAUUGGAAGGGCAUGGUAUAGGCUGGCGGCUCCUCCCGCCUUUGCUCCCUUCCCUGAGUGAGAACCCUUUCUGCACCUGUGUUGGGCUGGGACAUCCCCUUGACCACUAGAAUGAGGAAAAUCUAGUUGCUUUGUCUUCCACCUAGUCACGGCCUGAUGCUCCUGCUAGCAUCUUGCCUCAGAGCAUCAGCAGGGGACUGGUUGCAGCUGUUCAGCCUGGGGCCCAUCUAUCUCCUACCUCAAUGUGAGCCUCCUCAAAAAAGGCGUCCAAGGCAGUUUACUGACACAGUAGACAGAAUUUUGAGGCUAGAGGCAGACCUUAUGGACCUGUGGAGUAGAGCCAGAUACAUAAAAACCCAGCCCUGGUGCAGUCAGGCUGGAGCACUUGGUUGGUGCCACCAGAGGAACCUUCCAUGGAAACCAUCUGAGGUCUCAGCAUGGUCGUUCUUCACCAGGUGCAUGGGUUUCCACAAAGACUUAGCAACAAGGGCCCUGCCUGAAGCCAGACACAAACUUUGUCUUGCAGAGAGUGUGGGUGAGAGGUAUGUGGGGUGUAGAAAAGGCCCACGUAAAGCAGCCUUCCAGGAAAACUGUUGAGUUCCGUCUGGGGAAGAUCUAUACACUACAAAAUCUCUUCAUGCUUGUGACAGAAAUAUUAAUGCCCAAACUUGGAUUAAAUAAAAG
This is a long non-coding RNA of Bos taurus (domestic cattle), 1540 nucleotides long. The record is from Ensembl. Lineage: Eukaryota; Metazoa; Chordata; Mammalia; Artiodactyla; Bovidae.